Molecule: ribosomal RNA, 1710 nt
Filed under: Triticum aestivum (bread wheat)
Lineage: Eukaryota; Viridiplantae; Streptophyta; Magnoliopsida; Poales; Poaceae
Description: partial small subunit ribosomal RNA
Source: RNAcentral
AUGAUAUAUACUUUCAAACAAAUUGGUUACGGCACUCAUUGCGCCUCAACAGCCGCGGGCGCGAUUGUGGAGGGCGCCGACUACUACGGCCUGGCCCGGGGUGCGGCCAAGGGUGGCGCGCCGGCCGCGCGCGUGGCCUCGUACAAGGUGUGCACUGAGGACGAGAACGGAUGCUCUGGCUCAGUGCUACUCAAGGCCAUCGACGACGCGGUGAGCGACGGGGUGGACGUGAUCUCCAUCUCCAUUGGCAAGACCACUACCGACACAACGCCAGACGUACUCUCCGACCCUGUUGCACUCGGAGCCUUCCACGCACACCAGAGUGGCGUCCUCGUGGUCUGCUCCGCUGGCAACGACGGGCCCGACCCAUCCACCAUUGUCAACUCCGCGCCGUGGAUCCUCACGGUCGCCGCCUCCACCAUCGACCACGCUUUCCACUCCAGUGUAGUCCUCGGCAAUGGGAAGGUAUUCAAGGGUGUCGCCAUAAACUUCUCCAACCAAAGCCGUAGUGGAGAGCGCUACCCUCUGGUGUUUGGGGCCCAAGCGGCUACCCGGCGCACGCCAGCGUCCGAGGCAAGCAAUUGUUAUCUGGGAUCGCUGCGCAAGCGCAAGGUGUCUGGGAAGAUUUUGGUGUGCGUCCGCACAGACUCGAUGAUUACGCGGAGGAUAACGAAGCUCGUCGCCGAGGACUCUGGGGCGAGGGGGCUGGUGUUGAUCGACGACAAGGCCAUGGAGGCACCGAUCGACACCGGCAGCUUCCCCUUCUCCCAAGUGGGCUCAUACGCCGGCACACACAUACUGCGGUACAUUAACUCCACCAAGAAUCCAACGGCGGUGAUCCUCGCCACAGAGGACGUCACGUUGUUCAAGCCUGCACCCGUGGUGGCAUCCUUCUCGGCCCGCGGCCCUGCUGCCCUCACCGAAUCCAUCCUCAAGCCCGAUCUGAUGGCGCCCGGGGUCAGCAUCCUCGCCGCGAUGCCGCCCAUGAACAUGUAGGACGUCCCCGCCGGCAAGAAGCCCUCGUCAUUCUCCAUCAAGUCCGGCACUUCCAUGGCCUGCCCGCACGUCGCCGGUGCCGGUACCUUCCUCAAGUCCGCCCACCCGCGCUGGUACCCAUCCAUCAUCAGAUCAGCUCUCAUGACCACAGCGACGCCGAGAAACAACGUUGGACUGCCGGUGGCGAGCAGCAGUGGCGCGGCGGCGACCGGACACGACAUGGGUGCGGGCGAGAUCAUACCGCUUCAUGCGCUCAGUCCAGGACUAGUGUUUGACACCACCACAAGGGACUACCUCCACUUCCUCUGGUACCAGGGCUACAAGGACAAGGUCAUCCGCAAGGUCUCGGGCGACGCCCAGUUCACCUGCCCGCGUGGCGCACCCUCGCCGGACCUCAUCGCAAAGAGCGUCAACUACCCGUCUAUCUCCGUGCCGCGGCUAGCGGCCCGGAAGCGGUUCGCCGUGUCGCGCACCGCCACGACCACGAACGUCGGGCGGUCUAACGCGACGUACAAGGUGGCCGUCGAGGCGCCGCCGGGCCUCUUGGUGAAGGUGUCGCCUAAGCGGUUGCUGUUCUUAAGGCGAUGGGCCACGGCGGCGUACGAGGUGAGCUUCACUCAAGCCGGGGCCAGGAAGGGGUACGCGUACGGCGCAGUCGCCUGGUCGGAUGGAGUGCACUCGGUCCGGACGCCGUUCGCCGUUAAUGUCGUCUGA